Molecule: long non-coding RNA, 207 nt
Filed under: Carica papaya (papaya)
Lineage: Eukaryota; Viridiplantae; Streptophyta; Magnoliopsida; Brassicales; Caricaceae
Description: long non-coding RNA (CPAP_LNC000117)
Source: RNAcentral
GCUCAAAAAUUCUUGAAGGGUCUUAGGGCAGAUAUAUUUGACUGCGUUGCUAUAUUGAAUCCUAUCUCUUAUGCUAAAGUUAUUGAACAUGCCAAAUUGGUCAAAAAACUUAUACGUUUUGACACUAGUGUUUCACCCACAUUCGUACCCAAUAGUAGCAAAAGAGGAAGAUGACUAACCCUGGCCCGACCGUGUUGAUAAGAUAUU